Molecule: long non-coding RNA, 638 nt
Filed under: Crocodylus porosus (Australian saltwater crocodile)
Lineage: Eukaryota; Metazoa; Chordata; Crocodylia; Crocodylidae
Description: lncRNA (ENSCPRG00005002851.1)
Source: RNAcentral
GAUGUAUUUCUAGAAGUGUUGGGCCUAGCAAGAUGGCAGCGCGUGUACAAUAAGAAUUUUUAUGAAGUGCCGCUGCGAAGGGUUGCUACAUACCAGUGAGGUGUAUAAGCAUAAUUAUCUCCAGAGAGAGAGACAGAGAGAGAGGAAGGUCCUCCCGCCACAAAGUGCUGAAUGCUUGGGAGCCGAGUGCCCCGAACCUUCCAGAUGCCCAGGAUCACAGAGAAACCCUGCCUGUGCACAUAUGUUGUGUGUGACAGGGGCAGCUGCACUGGUGCUGACGAUAAUUGUAAUGUCUGCAGUUUUGUUAUGAACGUCAAGGUCAUGAGACAUCCAGUCACACUUCUCACCAUUGCAGUCCUGAUAACAGAGUUGCACAUUUCAAGAUAUGGAGAAUGGGUAUGGGCUGAGACUGACUGUGAUAAUGCAGCAUAUACUACCCAAGCAUGGUUCUUCAUCCUUCUCUGCGCGACAAGUUUGACAAACAUUUUGUCUAUGACAUUUUGUUUUGCUGGAUCUUCCGCCUAUGCUGCAGUGUAUUCUGCUCACAGAGCCCUGAGUUUGAUGACGUCCGGUGGUGUCUUGAUGGUGUGAACCAAUGGUAACGGGCGAUUUAAGCUGUAUGUGCUUAAAAACAGAAG